GACGAACGCUGGCGGCAUGCCUAACACAUGCAAGUCGAGCGGGGGGAGGUAGCUUGCUACCGGACCUAGCGGCGGACGGGUGAGUAAUGCUUAGGAAUCUGCCUAUUAGUGGGGGACAACAUCUCGAAAGGGAUGCUAAUACCGCAUACGUCCUACGGGAGAAAGCAGGGGAUCUUCGGACCUUGCGCUAAUAGAUGAGCCUAAGUCGGAUUAGCUAGUUGGUGGGGUAAAGGCCUACCAAGGCGACGAUCUGUAGCGGGUCUGAGAGGAUGAUCCGCCACACUGGGACUGAGACACGGCCCAGACUCCUACGGGAGGCAGCAGUGGGGAAUAUUGGACAAUGGGGGGAACCCUGAUCCAGCCAUGCCGCGUGUGUGAAGAAGGCCUUAUGGUUGUAAAGCACUUUAAGCGAGGAGGAGGCUACUUUAGUUAAUACCUAGAGAUAGUGGACGUUACUCGCAGAAUAAGCACCGGCUAACUCUGUGCCAGCCGCCGCAGUAA
Molecule: ribosomal RNA, 501 nt
Filed under: uncultured bacterium
Lineage: Bacteria
Description: partial 16S ribosomal RNA
Rfam family: Bacterial small subunit ribosomal RNA
Source: RNAcentral